GUAAUGCUGACGAGUCUCAAACAGGACGAAACUGCUGUUCAGUAC
This 45-nucleotide non-coding RNA is filed under the name Echinostoma caproni. Lineage: Eukaryota; Metazoa; Platyhelminthes; Trematoda; Plagiorchiida; Echinostomatidae. The record is from RNAcentral.